AUUGAACGCUGGCGGCAGGCCUAACACAUGCAAGUCGAGCGGAUGAAGGGAGCUUGCUCCUGGAUUCAGCGGCGGACGGGUGAGUAAUGCCUAGGAAUCUGCCUGGUAGUGGGGGAUAACGUCCGGAAACGGGCGCUAAUACCGCAUACGUCCUGAGGGAGAAAGUGGGGGAUCUUCGGACCUCACGCUAUCAGAUGAGCCUAGGUCGGAUUAGCUAGUUGGUGGGGUAAAGGCCUACCAAGGCGACGAUCCGUAACUGGCCUGAGAGGAUGAUCAGUCACACUGGAACUGAGACACGGUCCAGACUCCUACGGGAGGCAGCAGUGGGGAAUAUUGGACAAUGGGCGAAAGCCUGAUACAGACAUGCCGCGUGUGUGAAGAAGGUCUUCGGAUUGUAAAGCACUUUAAGUUGGGAGGAAGGGCAGUAAGUUAAUACCUUGCUGUUUUGACGUUACCAACAGAAUAAGCACCGGCUAACUUCGUG
RNAcentral lists this ribosomal RNA (484 nucleotides) under uncultured bacterium. RNAcentral describes it as "partial 16S ribosomal RNA". It matches the Rfam family "Bacterial small subunit ribosomal RNA", at positions 30 to 507 of the family's 1533-position model. The record is from RNAcentral.